CAUAUCAAUAAGCGGAGGAAAAGAAACUAACAAGGGAUUCCCCUAGUAACUGCGAGUGAAGCGGGAAAAGCUCAAAUUUUAAAUCUGGCAGUCUCUGGCUGUCCGAGUUGUAAUCUAGAGAAGUGUUAUCCGCGCUGGACCGUGUACAAGUCUCCUGGAAUGGAGCGUCAUAGAGGGUGAGAAUCCCGUCUUUGACACGGACUGCCAGGGCUUUGUGAUGCGCUCUCAAAGAGUCGAGUUGUUUGUGAAUGCAGCUCAAAAUGGGUGGUAAAUUCCAUCUAAAGCUAAAUAUUGGCGAGAGACCGAUAGCGAACAAGUACCGUGAGGGAAAGAUGAAAAGAACUUUGAAAAGAGAGUUAAACAGUACGUGAAAUUGCUGAAAGGGAAACGCUUGAAGUCAGUCGCGUUGACCAGGGAUCAACCUUGCUUUUGCUUGGUGUACUUCCUGGUUGAUGGGUCAGCAUCAAUUUUGACUAUUGGAAAAAGGUCAAGGGAAUGUGGCAUCUUCGGAUGUGUUAUAGCCCUUGGUUGCAUACAAUGGUUGGGAUUGAGGAACUCAGCACGCCGCAAGGCCGGGUAUUUUACCACGUACGUGCUUAGGAUGCUGGCAUAAUGGCUUUAAUCGACCCGUCUUGAAACACGGACCAAGGAGUCUAACAUGCCUGCGAGUGUUUGGGUGGAAAACCCAAGCGCGCAAUGAAAGUGAAAGUUGAGAUCCCUGUCGUGGGGAGCAUCGACGCCCGGACCAGACCUUUUGUGACGGUUCCGCGGUAGAGCAUGUAUGUUGGGACCCGAAAGAUGGUGAACUAUGCCUGAAUAGGGUGAAGCCAGAGGAAACUCUGGUGGAGGCUCGUAGCGAUUCUGACGUGCAAAUCGAUCGUCAAAUUUGGGUAUAGGGGCGAAAGACUAAUCGAACCAUCUAGUAGCUGGGUUCCUGCC
Molecule: ribosomal RNA, 939 nt
Filed under: Thaxterogaster alboaggregatus
Lineage: Eukaryota; Fungi; Basidiomycota; Agaricomycetes; Agaricales; Cortinariaceae
Description: Cortinarius alboaggregatus partial large subunit ribosomal RNA
Rfam family: Eukaryotic large subunit ribosomal RNA
Source: RNAcentral